AGUGAACGCUGGCGGUAGGCCUAACACAUGCGAGUCGAACGGCAGCACAGUAAGAGCUUGCUCUUACGGGUGGCGAGUGGCGGACGGGUGAGGAAUACAUCGGAAUCUACUUUUUCGUGGGGGAUAACGUAGGGAAACUUACGCUAAUACCGCAUACGACCUACGGGUGAAAGCAGGGGAUCUUCGGACCUUGCGCGACUGAAUGAGCCGAUGUCGGAUUAGCUAGUUGGCGGGGUAAAGGCCCACCAAGGCGACGAUCCGUAGCUGGUCUGAGAGGAUGAUCAGCCACACUGGAACUGAGACACGGUCCAGACUCCUACGGGAGGCAGCAGUGGGGAAUAUUGGACAAUGGGCGCAAGCCUGAUCCAGCCAUACCGCGUGGGUGAAGAAGGCCUUCGGGUUGUAAAGCCCUUUUGUUGGGAAAGAAAAGCAGCAGGUUAAUACCCCGCUGUUCUGACGGUACCCAAAGAACAAGCACCGGCUAACUUCGUG
This 492-nucleotide ribosomal RNA is filed under the name uncultured bacterium. Its description in RNAcentral is "partial 16S ribosomal RNA". It matches the Rfam family "Bacterial small subunit ribosomal RNA", at positions 29 to 507 of the family's 1533-position model. The record is from RNAcentral.